This 247-nucleotide ribosomal RNA is filed under the name uncultured bacterium. RNAcentral describes it as "partial 16S ribosomal RNA". It matches the Rfam family "Bacterial small subunit ribosomal RNA", at positions 99 to 334 of the family's 1533-position model. The record is from RNAcentral.
CGGACGGGUGAGUAACACGUGGGUAACCUGCCCGGAAGUGGGGAAUACCUCGGGGAAACUCGAGCUAAUACCGCAUGACAUCUUUGGGACGAAAGUCCUGACGAUCAAAGCGGGGUCGCAAGAUCUCGCGCUACCGGAUGGGCCCGCGCCCGAUUAGCUAGUUGGUGAGGUAACGGCUCACCAAGGCUUCGAUCGGUAACCGGCCUGAGAGGGCGAUCGGUCACACCGGAACUGAGACACGGUCCGG